GCGUGUACUCUUUUAACUUUACUCGUUCAAAAGUAUAUUUGUUCUGUUCUGGACUCAAAUGACUCAAAUACGCCACUGCUUAAAGAAUUCAUCCUGUCUGAUGAAAGAAAUUUGAUUAGACUUCUGAUUCAGAAGAGAUGGUUCACGUAAAGAUAAUUCUUGAAACAUAAUUUUGGUGGGUUAAAACAUAAUUUUAUUUUUACGCUUCUUUGAUCAGAGAAAAAAAUCGAUGUUGCAGCUAAACUUCUCUCUCUCUCUUUUUUUCUUUUUAAUUAAGUGGUGAUACUUUACCACUCAGCCUUGACCGAGUGGCUAGAACCACUAUUGUCUUGAUGAGAUAGGCGUGUGGGUGUAAUUCAACCUGUGGAUGGGCUAUGCCACAUGUAAAAUUCCCAGAGGGCAGCGUCGUUGCUUUUGCUGAGUGUUGUCUGAUUAAUUCACUGUUUCAACGCCGUUAGGCUUUUACAUAAUCUUAUGAAAUCGUGCCAUGUUUCUAAUUGUUUACCUUAUAAUGGGCAAAGUUGCUUGUUAGAUCUUUUCUGCUUGAAGUAAAAUCAAUUAGUAUGAAUGGUUAUUCUUUGACUGAUUUGUGAAUAAAAUCACUAAAUUUUUACAGCUUAGGUAUACUACCAUUUUCAAUGUACCAUCUGCCUCUAACAAGUAACAUGUGCAAAUAUUGGUAAAAAAUUUCUGCAGGUAAGAAUUCUUUCAUGUGGUUUGGUCCGACACCAAGGGUGAAUAUUAUGAAUCCUGAUCAAAUAAAAGCGAUAUUUACCAGGAUCAAUGAUUUUCAAAAAGUCAAUUCAAUCCCACUUGCCAGGCUGCUGAUAGUUGGAUUGGCUACCCUUGAGGGGGAGAAGUGGGCUAAACAUAGAAAACUCAUCAACCCAGCCUUCCACCAAGAGAAGCUCAAGGUUUAUUAAUUAACUUCUCCAUUUGUUUACAUAUCUUUGGAAGAUUCGAUUUUGCCCUCAUUUAGAUUUCUUGCUUUUGUUACAGCUUAUGUUGCCAGCAUUCUACUUGAGUUGUAUCGAAAUAAUUACAAAGUGGGAGAAGCAAAUGUCUGUAGAAGGAUCAUCUGAGUUGGAUGUAUGGCCUUAUCUUGCAAAUUUGACAAGUGAUGUGAUUUCUCGAACGGCUUUUGGGAGUAGUUAUGAAGAAGGAAGAAGGAUUUUUCAGCUCCAGGCAGAGCUAGCUGAACUCACAAUGCAGGUCUUUCGUUCAGUUCACAUUCCAGGAUGGAGGUAUAUUCACAUUUCUCUUCACUGGAAACAUUCAUAUAUACAUGUCAUAUAGGAUUAUUUAUGAUUAGGCUUUGAUUAACUUUGCGGGAGUUAUUUUCUUUCGCGCAAAAUAUUAGAAGUAGACCUAGCUGAUUCGGCUCAGAUAUCUUGAUUGUGCUAAUCAUAGAGUUAUUCUAAGAGGCUCCAGCAGAUUUCUGAUUGGUAAAAAGAGGGCAAAAAAAAAUUAAGGGUUUGAUUAGUUUGUUUAGUUCUUGUCUUUUCAGUUGUUUCAUUGCUUAUAUAUAGGUUUUUACCUACAAAGAGAAAUAGGAGAAUGAAAGAAAUUGACAAGGAAAUCCGGGCUUCAUUGAUGGGAAUCAUCAAAAAUAGGGAGAAGGCAAUGAAAGCAGGGGAAGCUGCGAACGAUGACUUGUUAGGCAUACUGAUGGAAACCAGUUUUAGAGAGAUUGAAGAACAUGGAAAUAACAAAAAUGUUGGGUUCAGCAUGAACGAUGUGAUCGAAGAGUGUAAGCUAUUUUACUUUGCCGGCCAAGAGACUACCUCUGUUUUGCUUAAUUGGACGAUGGUCUUAUUGAGCAAGCAUCAAGAUUGGCAAGAACGUGCAAGGCAAGAGGUUUUGCAAGUGUUUGGCAAUAAUAAGCCCAACUAUGAUGGAUUGAAUCACCUCAAAAUUGUAAGUACGAAGGAAAUAGUAUUCGAUAUUGAUCAAUUUGAUCAUAUUAAUCUCAGUUGUGUUUGUAUGUAUGUGACAGGUCCAGAUGAUACUUUACGAGGUACUCAGGCUUUAUCCGCCCGUAACUGCGCUUAGUCGAUCUGUUCUUAAGGAAACGAAACUCGGAAACUUGACAUUACCCGCUGGGGUUCAAAUUGGCUUGCCAAUGAUCCUAGUUCACCAGGAUCCUGAACUUUGGGGUUACGAUGCAGUUGAGUUUAAGCCGGAAAGGUUUGCGGAAGGAAUUUCAAAGGCGGCCAAAAAUCAAGUUUCAUAUUUCCCAUUCGCAUUGGGUCCUAGGAUAUGUGUUGGACAAAAUUUUGCUCUAGUAGAAGCAAAAAUGGCCAUGGCAAUGAUUCUUCAAAACUACUCAUUCGAGUUGUCUCCAUCCUAUGUCCAUGCUCCAACGGCGGUUCCAACCCUUCAUCCGGAACUGGGUACCCAAUUGAUUCUACGGAAACUAAGGUGCAAAAAUAAUUAAUGCCGGCAACUAUAUAUUGUCAAUAAGAUUAGCAUGAUGCCAAUGUAGACUCUUUUAUAAUGAAGUUUAAUGUAUUUAAUUUUGUAUUGAGAUUCAAAGCUUAGACAAGAGCUGUUUAGAUUUUUAAAUUGAGCUCAACACAACUCUAGUUUUAUUUAGAGUAAAGAUGUUUCCCCACAUUGGAAAAUUUUAUAACGCCAUGAUUAGAAUUACAGCAUUAAUGUUGUGGUAAAAAAUAUAUUUUAUAAAAGGCCAAAAGCUUGCUUAGUCCCUACAUUAUGAGCUUAGUGCUCAUUUAAUCUCUAUAUUUUUAAGAAUACCUCAAAACGUCCUUACUAUUAAAUAUUGACAUUUAUACCAUUAUUUUUUUAGCAUGUUUUUACAAUUUUACACUCUUACAGUAAUGUUUCUUUUUUAGAAAUUAAUAAAAAAUUGGAUUAUCAAAUUAAACCCAAAAAUAAAAUAAAAAACAAAAAAGAUAUAUAUUAAUUUUUGUGGAAGCUCAUGUGUGUCCAAAAAAAAAUAAUUUUGUAAAAAAUUAAAUUAUCAAUUUUGUAAAAAAUUAAAUUAUCAAUUUUGUAAAAACUUAAAUUAUCAAUUUUUUUUUAAAAAUUAAUAUUUUAACUUCUCAGCAGAGUGUUCCACAAAAAUUAAUAUAUAUAUUGUUUUUAUUUUAUUUUUUGGUGUUAAACUAGUAAUUUAAUUUUUCUUUUUAAUAAUGUUUAAAAAAGGAACAUUAUUGUAAUAGGGUAAUAUUGUAAAAAUAAGUCAAAAUGAACAAAAGGUAAUGGCAAGGAUGUCAAUAAUUUAAUGAUAGGGAUGUUUUGAGAUGUUUUUAAAAAUAUAAGGACUAAACGGACACUAACCUUAAAAUAUAGGAACUAAACGAACUUUUACCCUUUAUAAAAUUAUACAUAAGAUAAGUGAUUGGAAGAUAAAACAUGUAAAUUAAUAUAAGCCAGUUAAUUAUUAAAACAAUUAACAUGAUUUCUACAUAAUUUUAGUGAAAAAUAAUUUUUUCAUUUACUUUAGCUAAACAAUGAAAUAAAAAUAGUCAUCAAUCUAAGACCAAAAAAAUUAUACUAAAAACAAGUAGAAUAAGUUUUACUGAAUUGGUUUAAGAAUAAAUUCUAUAUUUGUCUUAAGAUAUUUAUAAACUUUUUUUUUUCAUUUUCUAUCAUUGUUUUUUUUUUACUACACAAGUUAACUAAGUGAAAUAAUUUAUCUUAAUGUGGAUUAAACAAAAAAUAAAAUAAAAACAUGUUCUUAUAUUACUAAACACAUAUAUGACAUAUCAAUAAAGUUAGAUUUAAUUUUGAGUUUUACAAGUACUUCUUGUAAUUUUAACCGUGACCCCUUACUUGUAUUUAGAAACUAGUUGCAUUACUGAUGAGGAGAUUUAGAAGGAUGAAAAAUCAUGUCAUCUUACAAUAAAUUCAAAAAACAUUAAAAGAAUAGAUUUCAAAAUCUAAUUUUGAGAAUAAAUUUAUAUAAAACAUCACAUUUAUUACAUAAGACCAAAACUAUCAUUAUUCAAUUUAAAAUAGAAUUAAUAAAUAUAUAAGGUAAUCAAUAUUAUAAUGAGUUUUUAUUUUACAUUUGUAAGUUUUUUUUAAUAACUCUUAUAUUAAUUUUGUAAAUUACACCUAAACUUAUGUUUUAUUUGUACUUAAUAUUGAUUUAUAGUUUUAUAUUAUGUCUUUAAAUUUUUAUUUUGUUCACUACCAAUACAUUAAUUUACCAAUCUUAUAUUAAUUUACUUAUUUUAUCUUUUAUUUACAUGUCUUAUGUUUCAUUUACGCAAUUUAUAUUUUAUUUCACACUAAAUAUUGAUUUAUAAAUUAUAUAUUACAUUUGUAAGUUUUUCUUUUGUUUAUCAAUAAUAUACCAGUUUAUCACUCCUAUUUUAAUUUGUUUGUUUUACCUUCUACUUACAAGUCUAAUAUUUUAUUUACAUAAUUUAUAUGUUAUUUCACAGUUAAUAUUGAUUUACAUGCUUUAUAUUAAAUUUAUAAGUCUUAUGUUUCAUUUACAUAAUUCAUAUUUGAUUACAUAAAUUCAUGACAUCAUCAAGUGACCUUGUACUUUAUAAUCGGGUGAGGCUAUUUAUUUAUAUAUUCUAAAAGUUAUUUUUAAUCCUCUUUAUUUAAUAAAAUUUUAUAUUAUAAAAAUGUCCUUUUAUGAAAUUAGUAUUAAGGAUUGAAUAAUUUUAACUUGAAACAAAUAUCCUUGACACACCCAUGUAUUAUAAAAUCUUAAAUCACCAUCAUCAUCUUCUUCUUCUUCUUUUUAAAUCAAUUUUUUUUCAAUUGGAAAAUUUGAAAGAUUGAAGACUUCUUUGCAAAUUUUUGUCAUGGGUGCACGUAUCCUCACUCUAAUAUCGUUUUCACCAAAUAUAUUUCAUUAACAUCUUCGAAAUAAGAUUAAUGGAAAUUAUAUUUAUGUAACUGAUACCUCAAUGAUAAAUUGUAGCCAAUACAUACUAAAAAUCAAAAUCACAAGAACUAUGAUUCAAUAAAAGAAACGAAGAAUUAUGAUUCAAUAAAAGAAAAAGGGAUAUAUAAUUUAUCUCAAGCCUUUAAUAAGAAGAGAGAAAAUUACUUUAGAAAAAGAAUAAUAAAACAGGAGCCCCCCAAAAAAAAAAUUCAAGACUAUUUUUUAGAUUUAUAUAUUUUACAUAGUAAAAAUUUGAUUUUAAAUUUUAAACGUUGUAUUUGAAAUAAUGAGUGCGCAGGCGGACCUAAGCGGGGGUGUAGCCCGGAUUAGUCCAGGAAAGUUAUUUAUAGCCCUUAUUUUUUUAUUAAUUUUAUAUAAUAAUAUAGUUUUAUUUUUUUUCAUAUUUGUCCCUAAUUUAACUACCCUUAUGUUUUUUUUUAUCAAUUUUAUAAAAUAAUACAGUUUUUAUUUUAUUUUCAAAUAUGUUCCUAAUUCAAUUAUAUUUUCUUCCCAAUUGGAAUUAGUGACUUAUUUCAUGAAAUAAUUAAAUUAUAUAUUUAUUGAAUAAAUUGAAAAGAUUUGGGAGCUAAAAUAUUAUUACUGUUUUAAUUUAUUUAUAAAAAUAAUUUAAUUGAAAAAAUGCCAAUACUUACAAAAACAAAAUAUAGUAACAACUAUAUAUCAACAUUUCUUAACUUUUAUGUGAAUUUUGAGAUUUUAGUUAUUAGUUACAUUAACCAAGAGGAUAAGUUAUAAGAUAAAAUUUAAAUAUUUUGAGGAGUUUUUGAUAGAAAAACCGUCAACAGUAGGUUCUUUAAAAAAAAGGUAGAGUGUAUGACAAAGAAACAAUGAUACCCAAAUAACUUUAUGUUAAGUUGAGUUUAGUUUAUUAUUAAAACUUUUGACUAAUAAUAUUUUAAAAUUUAAAAAGACGAAUAAAUUUUAAUUGUUUAAUUUAUUUAAGCUUGGUAAUUAAGUACUUGACUUCAAAUAUAAAAGUUUUACUACCAUUUUUAAUAAAUUGUGAUUACAUGUAUAGAUUUAUUUUAGCUUGAAAUUCUCAAUUGAUUUACUUAAAGGUUUUAUUGAGGACUUUUUUAGUAUUUUAAAAAGUGUGCAGAGUUAAAGAGAGUAGCUUUUUCAGUAUUUUAUGAGAUCGUGGCUGCAGCUGUUAAGAGAGUAGCUUUAAAAGGAAAUGUGGCAAACAUGGAGGCAGAAGCAGUGCUGCUUGGUAUUCAAGUAGCUCAGAAAACAAAUUGUACCCUAUUCAUUGUCGAAUCAGACUUGAAGGAAGUUGUGGAGCUCACUUUAAACAAGAAGGAAAGUUUAGCUAAAAUUUGUUGGAACAUUGAAGAAAUACAAGCAGAGUUGAAAAACCAGGCCUCGGCAGCUAUUCGUUUUGUCCCAAGAAAGUGUAAUGUAAUAGCCCAUAACUUAGCUAAUGUAGCUCUUGAGUUUGAGGAUCCUAUCUAUCACAUGGAUAGGUGAUUUCCCUGUCCAGCUGUUGAUGUUGUUCUCUUCUUCUUAAUCAAUUGAAUGCUUUACUUUCUCAUAGAAAAAAAAAGAGUGUGUGCAGAGUAAAAAUUAAUUAUUUUAAAGAGUGAGUAUAUUUGAACCCACCAAAUUACUUUGUAAACUCAUCUACUUAUUAAUUCUAUUGUUAAAAAUUUUAUAUUAUACUUUAUAAACCCAUGUUAAUAACCAACAUAUCCUUGA
This 6589-nucleotide long non-coding RNA is filed under the name Citrus x clementina. RNAcentral describes it as "Citrus clementina (C. clementina) long non-coding RNA (CCLE_LNC004367)". The record is from RNAcentral. Lineage: Eukaryota; Viridiplantae; Streptophyta; Magnoliopsida; Sapindales; Rutaceae.